RNAcentral lists this long non-coding RNA (224 nucleotides) under Physcomitrium patens. Its description in RNAcentral is "long non-coding RNA (PPAT_LNC013765)". Lineage: Eukaryota; Viridiplantae; Streptophyta; Bryopsida; Funariales; Funariaceae. The record is from RNAcentral.
UUUUGUGUUUUUCUUUAGUAUUGGAUUUAAGAAAAGGAUUGCUGAAACUGUGAUUGAGAUAUUGAAAAUUAUGAAUUCGAAUUAAUUAAUUUGGAGAAAGAAAGUGUGAUUGUGAUAAUAGAGAUUAUUGCAUUGUGUUAGUAGCAUUGGAAGAUUGAGUAAAAGUAAAGGAAUUGAGAAUUGAAGUACUGUGGAAAGAGAUUAAGCAUCCUGUAGAUGUCAAG